Transfer RNA from Cryptosporidium parvum Iowa II, 73 nucleotides. It matches the Rfam family "tRNA". Rfam says of the family: Transfer RNA (tRNA) molecules are approximately 80 nucleotides in length. Their secondary structure includes four short double-helical elements and three loops (D, anti-codon, and T loops). The record is from Rfam. Lineage: Eukaryota; Apicomplexa; Conoidasida; Eucoccidiorida; Cryptosporidiidae.
AGGAGGAUGGUCUAGGGGUUAUGACGCUUGCCUCACACGCAAGAGGUCACGGGUUCGAUUCCCGUUCUUCCUA